GACCCCGCACAAGUAGUGGAGCAUGUGGUUUAAUUCGAAGAUACGCGCAGAACCUUACCAACACUUGACAUGUUCGUCGCGACUUUAAGAGAUUAAAGUUUUCGGUUCGGCCGGACGAAACACAGGUGCUGCAUGGCUGUCGUCAGCUCGUGUCGUGAGAUGUUGGGUUAAGUCCCGCAACGAGCGCAACCCUCACUUUUAGUUGCCAUCAUUUAGUUGGGCACUCUGAAAGAACUGCCAGUGAUAAGCUGGAGGAAGGUGGGGAUGACGUCAAGUCCUCAUGGCCCUUACGUGUUGGGCUACACACGUGCUACAAUGGUAUCUACAACAGGAAAGCAAAACGGCAACGUUAAGCAAAAUCCCGAAAAGAUACCUCAGUUCGGAUUGCACUCUGCAACUCGAGUGCAUGAAGCUGGAAUUACUAGUAAUCG
This 431-nucleotide ribosomal RNA is filed under the name uncultured bacterium. RNAcentral's name for it is "bacterial SSU rRNA". It matches the Rfam family "Bacterial small subunit ribosomal RNA", at positions 920 to 1344 of the family's 1533-position model. The record is from RNAcentral.